RNAcentral lists this small RNA (125 nucleotides) under Marmota monax (woodchuck). The record is from RNAcentral. Lineage: Eukaryota; Metazoa; Chordata; Mammalia; Rodentia; Sciuridae.
GAUGGGUGUGGUGGUGCAUGCCUGUAAUCCCAGUGGCUAGGGAGGCUGAGGUGGGAGGAUCAUGAGUUCAAAGCCAGCCCCAGCAAUGGCAAGGCACUAAGCAAUUCAGUGAGACCCUGUCUCUA